AGUGAACGCUGGCGGCAGGCCUAACACAUGCAAGUCGAGCGGCAGCGGGAAAGUAGCUUGCUACUUUUGCCGGCGAGCGGCGGACGGGUGAGUAAUGCCUGGGAAAUUGCCCAGUCGAGGGGGAUAACAGUUGGAAACGACUGCUAAUACCGCAUACGCCCUACGGGGGAAAGCAGGGGACCUUCGGGCCUUGCGCGAUUGGAUAUGCCCAGGUGGGAUUAGCUAGUUGGUGAGGUAAUGGCUCGCCAAGGCGACGAUCCCUAGCUGGUCUGGGAGGACGAUCAGCCACACUGGAACUGAGACACGGUCCAGACUCCUACGGGAGGCAGCAGUGGGGAAUAUUGCACAAUGGGGGAAACCCUGAUGCAGCCAUGCCGCGUGUGUGAAGAAGGCCUUCGGGUUGUAAAGCACUUUCAGCGAGGAGGAAAGGUUGAUGCCUAAUACGUAUCAACUGUGACGUUACUCGCAGAAGAAGCACCGGCUAACUCCGUGCCAGCCGCCGCCGUAA
This 508-nucleotide ribosomal RNA is filed under the name uncultured bacterium. RNAcentral's name for it is "partial 16S ribosomal RNA". It matches the Rfam family "Bacterial small subunit ribosomal RNA", at positions 29 to 523 of the family's 1533-position model. The record is from RNAcentral.